AGACGGAGGGUGCAAACGUUGUUCGGAAUCACUGGGCAUAAAGCGCACGUAGGCGGCCCAAUUAGUUUGGUGUGAAAGCCCUCGGCUCAACCGGGGAACUGCAUCGAAUACUGUUGGGCUAGAGGACGGUUGGGGUGAGUGGAACUCUUGGUGGAGCGGUGAAAUGCGUAGAUAUCAAGAGGAACACCAGUGGCGAAAGCGACUCACUGGACCGUAUCUGACGCUGAGGUGCGAAAGCUAGGGGAGCGAACGGGAUUAGAAACCCCGGUAGUCC
RNAcentral lists this ribosomal RNA (274 nucleotides) under uncultured bacterium. RNAcentral describes it as "partial 16S ribosomal RNA". It matches the Rfam family "Bacterial small subunit ribosomal RNA", at positions 523 to 796 of the family's 1533-position model. The record is from RNAcentral.